AUGUAUUCCAGAACAAGCAACUUUCGUAUCACCCCACUUGACUUUGCCGUUCACUGAACCAGACCCAUCUUCGUGUCUCAUUCUCUCUCUUCCUUCUUCUUGCCUUCUGCUUCCUUCUCCUCUCUUUCCUACUUUUGUUUUUCUAUAAUUCAAUUCAGUUCAAUUUCACAAUAAUUACGUUUCAUCAAUUCAAUCAAAUACACUGCACUUAAAUCUUCGUUCCUUCAUUCAUUCAUCCAUCCAUCCCCAUCGCCCGCCCCUUCCCCCUCAGGAAAGGCGGAGCAUCACGCACAUGCCGUUCUUUUCACCUCCCUCUCCCUCUCUUUUUCUUGGCUAUUUUUUACCGAGCGCAGCCCGUUCCGCAGCACUUGCGCCUUCCCCCGUUUCUGGGUCUUUGGGAUUCUGUGGAGUUGAGUAGAGAACGAGACGAAAGUUGAAGAAUUUGGAAGAGAGCGAGGGGCGCCCGGAGGGGCUGAGAUGCGAAGAUGUGCCCCUGGCCGAAUCUGUCUGCCGUCUUCUCCUUGUUCUUGUCCGGAUGGUUUGAGAUCUCCACAUAACAAUCGCUGCCAUCUCAUUCGGUAUCACAGCUGGAUCGUUGGGAACGACGUUCGCGGCUUUCAAUCUGAACUUUAGGGGGCAAGUGGAUGUACAAGACGAUGGAGUUCAGAGAAUUCACCAGAUGCACUUGAGUUUCGGGAGACGUCUUGCUUGUUCUUUCAGCAUCUCAGAGUUGUAAUUAGCACAUAUCGGCCUGGUGUUACUACCUAAACAUCCUCAGUGAGGAUACUGAGAGAAGGGAAUUGAUCGAACGUUAAGCACUUGCGUCGUCCGCCCUCCUUUGGUUCAUUUGGUUGGCAGUCAGAUAAGCAUUGGCCCCAUCUGCCGUGCAGCAGCACUCAUAAUUGUAGAUGAGUUCCGAACUUGAUCAAGCAGAUCCGAGACAGAGACAGGGAAUCAUAAAUCUGGGUUUCAUAAUGGAUAGGAGAGUGAGAAGACCAGUUGACAAGAACAUAGAAUACAGCAGGAAAAUGGGGUCAGAACCGAGAUGGUUGGCUGAGGGAAAGAAGAUGGAGUACAAUCGGCAGAGAAGUGCCAAGAGACUGUUGCCGGCUUCAGGAUAUUUCAGCUUACAGUCGUUGUACGUGUUGAUAUGCCUGACGGUGUCAUUGCUCAUACUACCGUUGAUACUCCCGCCAUUGCCGCCUCCCCCAUUCAUGUUGCUUUUGCUUCCCAUCGGCAUUCUGGUUGUGCUCGUGAUACUGGCCUUUAUGCCUUCCAAUGUGAGGGACUUGACGUACGCAUAUAUGUAAAGAGUGUGUGUUUCAUUUCGUGAGUCGAUCAUACCAUUCUUGUAAACCCGAUCUUCCGGUGUUCAAAGAGGAGAAAGAAGAAAGAGGAUUUUCAAA
This is a long non-coding RNA of Syzygium oleosum, 1406 nucleotides long. RefSeq lists it as uncharacterized. NCBI's taxonomy places the organism in Eukaryota, Viridiplantae, Streptophyta, Magnoliopsida, Myrtales, Myrtaceae. The transcript is spliced from 2 exons. The record is from RefSeq and is a predicted model, not a curated record.